GACGAAGGUGGCGAGCGUUGUUCGGAUUCAUUGGGCUUAAAGAGCACGUAGGCGGCCCUUCAAGUGUCUUGUGAAAUCCCUCGGCUCAACCGAGGAAUUGCUGGGCAUACUGUCGGGCUUGAGGUAGGUAUGGGCGAGUGGAACUCUUGGUGGAGCGGUGGAAUGCGUAGAUAUCAAGAGGAACGCCGGUGGUGAAGACGAUUCGCUGGGCCUAUCCUGACGCUGAGGUGCGAAAGCCAGGGGAGCAAACGGGAUUAGAUACCCCGGUAGUCCUGGCCCUAAACGAUGUCUACUAGAUCGGAGUCACUCUGACGUGCCUCUGGUCGAAAUGAAAACGAUAAGUAGACCGCCUGGGGAGUACGGUCGCAAGGCUAAA
Molecule: ribosomal RNA, 376 nt
Filed under: uncultured bacterium
Lineage: Bacteria
Description: bacterial SSU rRNA
Rfam family: Bacterial small subunit ribosomal RNA
Source: RNAcentral